This 429-nucleotide ribosomal RNA is filed under the name Bacteroidota bacterium. RNAcentral describes it as "Bacteroidetes bacterium partial 16S ribosomal RNA". It matches the Rfam family "Bacterial small subunit ribosomal RNA", at positions 355 to 776 of the family's 1533-position model. The record is from RNAcentral. Lineage: Bacteria; Pseudomonadati; Bacteroidota.
UAGGGAAUCUUCCGCAAUGGACGCAAGUCUGACGGAGCAACGCCGCGUGAGUGAAGAAGGAUUUCGGUUCGUAAAACUCUGUUGUUAGAGAAGAACAGCGCAUAGAGUAACUGUUAUGCGUGUGACGGUAUCUAACCAGAAAGCCACGGCUAACUACGUGCCAGCAGCCGCGGUAAUACGUAGGGCGCAAGCGUUAUCCGGAAUUAUUGGGCGUAAAGCGAGCGCAGGCGGUCAAUUAAGUCUGAUGUGAAAGCCCCCGGCUCAACCGGGGAGGGUCAUUGGAAACUGGUUGACUUGAGUGCAGAAGAGGAGAGUGGAAUUCCAUGUGUAGCGGUGAAAUGCGUAGAUAUAUGGAGGAACACCAGUGGCGAAGGCGACUCUCUGGUCUGUAACUGACGCUGAGGCUCGAAAGCGUGGGUAGCAAACAGG